RNAcentral lists this ribosomal RNA (462 nucleotides) under uncultured bacterium. RNAcentral describes it as "partial 16S ribosomal RNA". It matches the Rfam family "Bacterial small subunit ribosomal RNA", at positions 338 to 795 of the family's 1533-position model. The record is from RNAcentral.
CCUACGGGUGGCAGCAGUGAGGAAUAUUGGUCAAUGGACGAGAGUCUGAACCAGCCAAGUAGCGUGAAGGAUGACUGCCCUAUGGGUUGUAAACUUCUUUUAUAUGGGAGUAAAACAGGGUAUGCAUACCCUCUUGUAUGUACCAUAUGAAUAAGGAUCGGCUAACUCCGUGCCAGCAGCCGCGGUCAUACGUAGGAUCCGAGCAUUAUCCGGAGUGUCUGGGUGUAAAGAGUUGCGUAGGUGGCAUAAUAAGUAGCUAGUGAAAUCUGGUGGCGCAACCAUUCAGACUAUUAUCGAAACUGUUAAGCUCGAGUCCGUUAGAGGUAAGUGGAAUGUCUAGUGUAGGGGUGAAAUGCGUAGAUAUUAGAAGGAACACCAAUAGCGAAGGCAGGUUGCUGGGACGGUUCUGACACUAAGGCACGAAAGCGUAGGGAGCAAACGGGAUUAGAUACCCCUGUAGUC